This 1298-nucleotide long non-coding RNA is filed under the name Heterocephalus glaber (naked mole-rat). RNAcentral describes it as "lncRNA (ENSHGLG00100039291.1)". The record is from RNAcentral. Lineage: Eukaryota; Metazoa; Chordata; Mammalia; Rodentia; Bathyergidae.
CCUUGGACAAGUUAUAUAACUCUAAGCCCCAGCUCCCUUGUGUGUAAAGUGGAAAUAACAACCUCAUAAUGUGGAUACAAAGGUUAAAUGAGAUGAAGUACAAACGUAGCGUUGCAGUGUCUCCUACAUAAUGGCACCUAGGAUGGACGAUUAGGAAAAUCUCCCCCAACCCAUCUUCCACAUUUUCAAAAUGAGGGCAAUUACACCAAGGACAAGACUGCUGUGAGGGCUACAGAAUAAAUCACAGAAAGCCUUCGAGGUGACUGGCAUACGAUGGUACUUAUUUGCUUCCUGAAAAUAUUAGCUGUGACGAAUGGGGAGGGGCACAGGGAUGGUAUCCUUCAGCAGCGGACCCCGGGGCCCAAAGCUGAAGAGAGAAGGGCUGGGAAAAGCCAUUCCCAGGAAGAACACAGUGCUCCGAAGCACCGGGCACUGGGCUCUGGGCUCUGGGCUCUGGAUCUGCCCACAGAGCGGGAUCAGAUGCAGGCGGUUGUGAAAUGACAAAUGCAACUGAAUCUGAGUCACCUAGGAUGACGUGCAGAGUGUGUGGAUUAGGUUGGCCCUGGCUCUGGCUGCCUCUCUUUCAGGCACUUCCAACUUCACCAGAGGGCUGAGAAGAGCAAGGAGAGCAACGGGAAGGGAUUUGCUACUACUUUGCCUGUUUUCCGAGGAAGGCAUACUGGCUGUGGAGGAUCAGAAUGAUCUGGAGAGUUUUCAGGAAAAGCCAUGUCCAUCCAGACUUGAUCUGGCCCCAGGCAGAGCAGGAUACCUGAUGGUCACACAUGCAAGAGGAACCUACCGGGCAGCACUUCCAGAUGCCUCCCCCCGGCUCUCCUACUGCUCCCUCAAAGCCCCGCUUCAGCUUACGAGUGCCUCGCUUUCUCCUAGCUCAAGAUGACAGAACGUUAGAAAAACAAAAAAAGGUUCCAACAAUGGCUAAAAUCAUAAAGUACAUCAAUCAGUUUCAGGUGAUGAAAAUGAGUAAUGAAGCCCUGUGAUCUGUCUAACCCACCGAAUCGACGGGGGACCCUCUACGUUUCCCCACCCUCCCAGCAGGCUCCUUUGGUCCCCAGUACAACUUUGAAAUACAUAAAGCCAUACCUAUAAAAAAAUUAAUUUCCUUCCCAGAGGACAGAGGACUCUGAACACCUAAAAGUACAAGGGAAUACUGAGUCUCUGCAGUAAUUACUAAGCCACUAAUUGUCUUUGGGGCCUGCUAUCUGGCUUCAGUCACAUCCACCCCAAUUCUGCGAGCCUUGGGGGCACAGGGCUCUCUCUCCUGCCUGCCCAUCUCAGUG